This 497-nucleotide ribosomal RNA is filed under the name uncultured bacterium. RNAcentral's name for it is "partial 16S ribosomal RNA". It matches the Rfam family "Bacterial small subunit ribosomal RNA", at positions 28 to 507 of the family's 1533-position model. The record is from RNAcentral.
GAUGAACGCUGGCGGCGUGCCUAAUACAUGCAAGUCGAGCGAACGGACGAGAGGCUUGCUUCUCUGAUGUUAGCGGCGGACGGGUGAGUAAAACGUGGAUAACCUACCUAUAAGACUGGGAUAACUUCGGGAAACCGGAGCUAAUACCGGAUAAUAUUUUGAACCGCAUGGUUCAAAAGGGAAAGACGGUCUUGCUGUCACUUAUAGAUGGAUCCGCGCUGCAUUAGCUAGUUGGUAAGGUAACGGCUUACCAAGGCAACGAUGCAUAGCCGACCUGAGAGGGUGAUCGGCCACACUGGAACUGAGACACGGUCCAGACUCCUACGGGAGGCAGCAGUAGGGAAUCUUCCGCAAUGGGCGAAAGCCUGACGGAGCAACGCCGCGUGAGUGAUGAAGGUCUUCGGAUCGUAAAACUCUGUUAUUAGGGAAGAACAUAUGUGUAAGUAACUGUGCACAUCUUGACGGUACCUAAUCAGAAAGCCACGGCUAACUACGUG